This 63-nucleotide transfer RNA is filed under the name Heterophrynus longicornis. Its description in RNAcentral is "tRNA-Thr". Lineage: Eukaryota; Metazoa; Arthropoda; Arachnida; Amblypygi; Phrynidae. The record is from RNAcentral.
GUUUUGAUAGUUUAUUUUAAAAACUUUGAUCUUGUAAAUCAAAAAAGACAUAGUCUCAAAACU